This 1504-nucleotide ribosomal RNA is filed under the name Escherichia coli. RNAcentral describes it as "partial 23S ribosomal RNA". It matches the Rfam family "Bacterial large subunit ribosomal RNA", at positions 418 to 1906 of the family's 2925-position model. Lineage: Bacteria; Pseudomonadati; Pseudomonadota; Gammaproteobacteria; Enterobacterales; Enterobacteriaceae. The record is from RNAcentral.
CGGGACACGUGGUAUCCUGUCUGAAUAUGGGGGGACCAUCCUCCAAGGCUAAAUACUCCUGACUGACCGAUAGUGAACCAGUACCGUGAGGGAAAGGCGAAAAGAACCCCGGCGAGGGGAGUGAAAAAGAACCUGAAACCGUGUACGUACAAGCAGUGGGAGCACAGAGCAAUCUGUGUGACUGCGUACCUUUUGUAUAAUGGGUCAGCGACUUAUAUUCUGUAGCAAGGUUAACCGAAUAGGGGAGCCGAAGGGAAACCGAGUCUUAACUGGGCGUUAAGUUGCAGGGUAUAGACCCGAAACCCGGUGAUCUAGCCAUGGGCAGGUUGAAGGUUGGGUAACACUAACUGGAGGACCGAACCGACUAAUGUUGAAAAAUUAGCGGAUGACUUGUGGCUGGGGGUGAAAGGCCAAUCAAACCGGGAGAUAGCUGGUUCUCCCCGAAAGCUAUUUAGGUAGCGCCUCGUGAAUUCAUCUCCGGGGGUAGAGCACUGUUUCGGCAAGGGGGUCAUCCCGACUUACCAACCCGAUGCAAACUGCGAAUACCGGAGAAUGUUAUCACGGGAGACACACGGCGGGUGCUAACGUCCGUCGUGAAGAGGGAAACAACCCAGACCGCCAGCUAAGGUCCCAAAGUCAUGGUUAAGUGGGAAACGAUGUGGGAAGGCCCAGACAGCCAGGAUGUUGGCUUAGAAGCAGCCAUCAUUUAAAGAAAGCGUAAUAGCUCACUGGUCGAGUCGGCCUGCGCGGAAGAUGUAACGGGGCUAAACCAUGCACCGAAGCUGCGGCAGCGACACUAUGUGUUGUUGGGUAGGGGAGCGUUCUGUAAGCCUGUGAAGGUGUGCUGUGAGGCAUGCUGGAGGUAUCAGAAGUGCGAAUGCUGACAUAAGUAACGAUAAAGCGGGUGAAAAGCCCGCUCGCCGGAAGACCAAGGGUUCCUGUCCAACGUUAAUCGGGGCAGGGUGAGUCGACCCCUAAGGCGAGGCCGAAAGGCGUAGUCGAUGGGAAACAGGUUAAUAUUCCUGUACUUGGUGUUACUGCGAAGGGGGGACGGAGAAGGCUAUGUUGGCCGGGCGACGGUUGUCCCGGUUUAAGCGUGUAGGCUGGUUUUCCAGGCAAAUCCGGAAAAUCAAGGCUGAGGCGUGAUGACGAGGCACUACGGUGCUGAAGCAACAAAUGCCCUGCUUCCAGGAAAAGCCUCUAAGCAUCAGGUAACAUCAAAUCGUACCCCAAACCGACACAGGUGGUCAGGUAGAGAAUACCAAGGCGCUUGAGAGAACUCGGGUGAAGGAACUAGGCAAAAUGGUGCCGUAACUUCGGGAGAAGGCACGCUGAUAUGUAGGUGAAGCGACUUGCUCGUGGAGCUGAAAUCAGUCGAAGAUACCAGCUGGCUGCAACUGUUUAUUAAAAACACAGCACUGUGCAAACACGAAAGUGGACGUAUACGGUGUGACGCCUGCCCGGUGCCGGAAGGUUAAUUGAUGGGGUCAGCGCAAGCGAAGCU